AGUUCGGAUUGGAGGCUGAAAUUCGCCUUUAUGAAGCCGGAAUUGCUAGUAAUGGCAGGUCAGCAUACUGCCGUGAAUACGUUCCCGGGCCUUGUACACACCGCCCGUCACACCAUGAGAGUUGGGAAUACCCGAAGCCUGUGAGCUAACUUUUAGAGGCAGCAGUCGAAGGUAGAAUCAAUGAUUGGGGUGAAGUCGUAACAAGGUACC
RNAcentral lists this ribosomal RNA (210 nucleotides) under uncultured bacterium. RNAcentral's name for it is "partial 16S ribosomal RNA". It matches the Rfam family "Bacterial small subunit ribosomal RNA", at positions 1290 to 1500 of the family's 1533-position model. The record is from RNAcentral.